This 27-nucleotide non-coding RNA is filed under the name Bombyx mori (domestic silkworm). Lineage: Eukaryota; Metazoa; Arthropoda; Insecta; Lepidoptera; Bombycidae. The record is from RNAcentral.
GACAUGCGAUCUUCUUUUUGGCCUCCG